This 542-nucleotide ribosomal RNA is filed under the name uncultured eukaryote. RNAcentral's name for it is "eukaryotic LSU rRNA". The stretch from base 160 to 312 matches the Rfam family "5.8S ribosomal RNA". The record is from RNAcentral.
ACUAGUGAUUUCCGUAGGUGAAACUGCGGAAGGAUCAUUCGCACAAAGAAUAUCUUUUACACCCGCCACGCACCACACAGUGCUUUCUGUUUUUAAUCAGGAUUUAUAUCCAACUCGUCGAUGUUGCGAUUCCAUUGCAAUGUAUGCGAUGUUAUCUAUCUCUUGCGACGACGAAUGCCUUGGCUCGAGGAUCGUUGAAGGACGCAGCGAACUGUGCUAAACAUCUCGAAUUGCAGAUUUCCGAGAAAGAAAAGGAUUCUGAACGCACUUUGCGAAUUGACCUCGUGUCAGUUCACUUGAUUGGCGGUGACCGCAAUAUGCAGUCGCUCGAACUCCGAAGUUUGAGUGGUGUGCACGUGUUGUUGCAGAUUGUUGCACCGACAUGUUCGUAGAAUUCGACGCGCCUCUCGUUUUCGAGCAGCAUUAUGACUUCGUGUUAUGAUGUUCGAAAGCAGGGACCGUUUCUUGUUUGGUUUUCCAAGACGAUUCUUUCGCACGCUCACGACCAGUCAAGGGAUUACCCGCUGAAUUUAAGCAUAUCA